RNAcentral lists this ribosomal RNA (465 nucleotides) under Vreelandella stevensii. RNAcentral describes it as "partial 16S ribosomal RNA". It matches the Rfam family "Bacterial small subunit ribosomal RNA", at positions 338 to 795 of the family's 1533-position model. The record is from RNAcentral. Lineage: Bacteria; Pseudomonadati; Pseudomonadota; Gammaproteobacteria; Oceanospirillales; Halomonadaceae.
CCUACGGGAGGCUGCAGUGGGGAAUAUUGGACAAUGGGGGCAACCCUGAUCCAGCCAUGCCGCGUGUGUGAAGAAGGCCCUCGGGUUGUAAAGCACUUUCAGUGAGGAAGAACGCCUGGUGGUUAAUACCCAUCAGGAAAGACAUCACUCACAGAAGAAGCACCGGCUAACUCCGUGCCAGCAGCCGCGGUAAUACGGAGGGUGCGAGCGUUAAUCGGAAUUACUGGGCGUAAAGCGCGCGUAGGUGGCUUGAUAAGCCGGUUGUGAAAGCCCCGGGCUCAACCUGGGAACGGCAUCCGGAACUGUCAAGCUAGAGUGCAGGAGAAGAAGGUAGAAUUCCCGGUGUAGCGGUGAAAUGCGUAGAGAUCGGGAGGAAUACCAGUGGCGAAGGCGGCCUUCUGGACUGACACUGACACUGAGGUGCGAAAGCGUGGGUAGCAAACAGGAUUAGAUACCCCAGUAGUC